RNAcentral lists this ribosomal RNA (253 nucleotides) under uncultured bacterium. RNAcentral's name for it is "partial 16S ribosomal RNA". It matches the Rfam family "Bacterial small subunit ribosomal RNA", at positions 524 to 776 of the family's 1533-position model. The record is from RNAcentral.
UACGGAGGGGACUAGCGUUGUUCGGAAUUACUGGGCGUAAAGCGCACGUAGGCGGAUUUGUAAGUCAGGGGUGAAAUCCCGGGGCUCAAACUCGGAACUGCCUUUGAUACUGCAAAUCUCGAGUCCGGAAGAGGUGAGUGGAAUUCCUAGUGUAGAGGCGAAAUUCGUAGAUAUUAGGAAGAACACCAGUGGCGAAGGCGGCUCACUGGUCCGGUACUGACGCUGAGGUGCCAAAGCGUGGGGUGCACACAGG